GGAUCAGUUGAUGAGCAAAUACUGCAACAAUAUGAUGGAGAAAUCUUUAUGAUUCUUAGUAUUUAAGUCUCUGAUGAUC
Small nucleolar RNA from Arabidopsis thaliana (thale cress), 79 nucleotides. It matches the Rfam family "Small nucleolar RNA Z199". From Rfam's summary of the family: snoZ199 is a C/D box small nucleolar RNA, which acts as a methylation guide RNA for sites on 18S and 25S rRNA. Rice snoZ199 is reported to be homologous to Arabidopsis snoR13. Lineage: Eukaryota; Viridiplantae; Streptophyta; Magnoliopsida; Brassicales; Brassicaceae. The record is from Rfam.